This 164-nucleotide small nuclear RNA is filed under the name Pelecanus crispus (Dalmatian pelican). Its description in RNAcentral is "U1 spliceosomal RNA". It matches the Rfam family "U1 spliceosomal RNA". From Rfam's summary of the family: U1 is a small nuclear RNA (snRNA) component of the spliceosome (involved in pre-mRNA splicing). Lineage: Eukaryota; Metazoa; Chordata; Aves; Pelecaniformes; Pelecanidae. The record is from Rfam by way of RNAcentral.
AUACUUACCUGGCAGGGGAGACACCAUGAUCAGGCAGGUGGUUUUCCCAGGGCAAGGCUCAUCUGCUGCACUCCGCGUGUGCUGACCCCUGCGAUUUCCCCAAAUGUGGGAAACUCGACUGCAUAAUUUGUGGUAGUGAGGGACUGCGUUCAUGCUGUUCCCCG